UGGGCAUAUGUUUUGUAGAAAGAAUUAAACUCUCUUGCUUCAUUUAUAUCUAUUUAGAGAGAUGACAGGAAUUGGUCAUUCACAUGGUUAGUCAAAAAAUCCUACAUAAACUUGUAGAUCGCUGAAUAUGAUAUGUUUGAUUCCUUGCAAUAGUUUUGCGAUAUAAAGAUGGUGAUAUUAGAGUCAUGCUAGUGGCUGGUUGUGGAUUGUAGAGACACUUGUGUUGAGGUUUGCAAGUCCCGUAGCAUGCACGUAUGGUAACCGUUGUGUGACAAAUUUCAAGCAUGGGGUGUUUCUUUGAUUGUCUUCCUUAUGAGUGGCAGUCAGGUACGAGUGAUGGUCUUUUCCUAUGAAUCUAUACCCCUAGGGGCAUGCGUAGUAGUACUUUGCUUCGAGGGCUAAUAAACUUUUGCAAUAAGUAUGUGAGUUCUUUAUGACUAAUGUGAGUCCAUGGAUUAUACGCACUUUUACCUUUCCAUCAUUGCUAGCCUCUUCGGUACCGUGCAUUGCCCUUUCUCACUUUGAGAGUUGGUGCAAGCUUCGCCGGUGCAUUCAAACCCCGUGAUAUGAUACGCUCUAUCACACAUAAGCCUCAUUAUAUCUUCCUCAAAACAGACACCAUACCUACCUAUCAUGGCAUUUCCAUAGCCAUUCCGAGAUAUAUUGCCAUGCAACUUCCAUCAUCAUCAUAUACAUGACUUGAGCAUUUAUUGUCAUAUUGCUUUGCAUGAUCGUAAGAUAGCUAGCAUGAUGUUUUCAUGGCUUGUCCGUUUUUUAUGUCAUUGCUACGCUCGAUCAUUGCACAUCCUGGUACAUCGCCGGAAGCAUUCAUAUAGAGUCAUAUCUUUGUUCGAGAUAUCGAGUUGUAAUAUUGAGUUGUAAGUAAAUAAAAGUGUGAUGAUCAUCAUUAUUAGAGCAUUGCCCCAGUCAUGAAAGGAAGAAGGAUACUAUGAUUCCCCCACAAGUCGGGAUGAGACUCCGGACUUUAUGAAAAAUAAAAGAGGCCAAAGAAGCCCAAAUAAAAAAAGAGGCCAAAGAAGCCCACCAAAAAGAAAGAAAGAAAUAAAAAAACGAAAAUGAAAAAAAAAUGAAAAAGAAAAAGAAAAAAAAUGAGAGAAAAAGAGAGAAGGGGCAAUGUUACUAUCCUUGUACCACACUUGUGCUUCAGAGUAGCACCAUGUUCUUCAUAGGGAGAGCCUCCUAUGCUCUCACUUUCAUAUACUAGUGGGAAUUUUCAUUGUAGAACUUGGCUUGUAUAUUCCGAUGAUGGGCUUCCUCAAACGCCCGAGGUCUUCAUGAGCAAGCAAGUUGGAUGCACACCCACUUAGUUUCCAGUUUGAGCUUUCAUACACUUAUAGCUCUUAGUGCAUCCGUUGCAUGGCAAUCCCUACUCACUCACAUUGAUAUCUAUCGAUGGGCAUCUCCAUAGCCCGUUGAUACACCUAGUUGAUGUGAGACUAUCUUCUCCCUUUUUGUCCUCACCACCAUAUACCACCAUAGUGCUAUAUCCAUGGCUUGCGCUCAUGUAUUGCGUAAGAGUUGAAAAAGCCGAAGCACGUUAAAAAGUAUGAACCAAUUGCUCGGCUCGUCAUCGGGGUUGUGCAUGAUGGGAGUAUUUUGUGUGACGAAGAUGGAGCACAUCCAGACUAUAUGAUUUUGUAGGGAUGAGCUUUCUUUGGCUAUGUUAUUUUGAUAAGACAUAAUUGCUUGGUUGGUAUACUUGAAGUAUUAUUGUUUUUAUGUCAAAUGAUAGACUAUUGCUUUGAAUCACUCGUGUCUUAAUAUUCAUGCCAUGAUUAUACAUAUGAUCAAGAUUAUGCUAGGUAGCAUUCCACAUCAAAAAUUAUGUUUUUUAUCAUUUACCUACUCGAGGAUGAGUAGGAAUUAAGCUUGGGGAUGCUGAUACGUCUCCGUCGUAUCUAUAAUUUUUGAUUGUUUCAUGCCAAUAUUCUUCAACUUUCAUACACUUCUGGCAACUUUUUAUAUUAUUUUUGGGACUAACAUAUUGAUCCAGUGCCUAGUGCCAGUUCUUGUCUGUUGCAUGUUUUAUGUUUCGCAGAAAACCAAUAUCAAACGGAAUCCAAAUGGGAUAAAAAUGGACGGAGAAUUAUUUUGGAAUAUUUGGGAUUUUCCGGAGGAAGAAUCAACGCGAAACGGUGUCCGGGGUGGCCACGAGACAGGGGGGCGCGCCCUCCCCCCCCCCCUAGGCGCGGCCUGGGCUCUCGUGGGCCACCCGUAAGGUGGUUGAUGCUCUUCUUUUGGCGCAAGAAAGCUAAUUUUAUGAGAAAGCUCUGGGCGAAAGAUUCACCCCAAUCGGAGUUACGGAUCUCCAUAUAUAAAGGAAACGGUGAAGGGUAGAACCCGGGAACGCAGAAACAGAGAGAUAGAUCCGAUCUCAGAGGGGCUCUCGCCCCUCCCAAGCCAUGGGAGCCAAGGACCAGAAGGUAAACCCUUCUCCCAUCUAGGGAGAAGGUCAACUAAGAAGAAGAAGAAGGGGGGCCCUCUCCCCCUUGCUUCCGGUGGCGCCGGAGCGCUGACGGAGGCCAUCAUCAUCACCGCGAUCUUCACCAACACCGCCGUCAACUUCACCAACAUCUCCAUCACCUUCCCCCUUAUAUAUCCAGCGGUCCACUCUCCCGCAACCCACUGUACACUCUACUUGAACAUGGUGCUUUAUGCUUCAUAUUAUUAUCCAAUGAUGUGUAGCCAUCCUAUGAUGUCUGAGUAGAUUUUCGUUGUCCUAUUGGUGGUUGAUGAAUUGCUACGAUUGAUAUAAUUUGCUUGUGGUUAUGUUGCUGUCCUAUUGUGCCCUCCGUGUCCCGCAAGCGUGAGGGAGUGCCUCUGUAGGGUGUUGCAAUAUGUUCAUGAUUCGCUUAUAGUGGGUUGCUUGAGUGACAGAAGCAUAAACCCGAGUAAGGGGAUUGUUGCGUAUGGGAUAAAAGGGGACUUGAUGCUUUAAUGCUAUGGUUGGGUUUUACCUUAAUCAAUCUUUAGUAGUUGAGGACGCUUUCUAGAGUUCCAAUCAUAAGUGCAUAUGAUCCAAGAAGAGAAAAUAUGUUAGCUUAUACCUCUCCCACAUAAAACUUGCUAUCGGUCUAGUAACGUAGUCAAUUUCUUAGGGACACUUCCAUAACUCCUACCACCACUCUUCCACACUCUCUUUAUUUACUUUCUUGCAUCUUUAUCUAAACAGCUCCUACUUUUUAUUUGCGUUCUCUUUAUUAUCUUGCAAACCUAUCCUAUCACACCUACAAAAUACUUCUAGUUUCAUACUUGUUCUAGGUAAAGCGAACGUCAAGCGUGCGUAGAGUCGUAUCAGUGGCCGAUAGGACUUGAGAGAGUAUUUGUUCUACCUUUAGCUCCUUGUUGGGUUCGACACUCUUACUUAUCGAAAGAGGUUACAACUAUCCCGUAUACUUGCGGGUUAUCAGACCUCUCUCUCCACUACUAGUGCGGCGCUAACCACUUGAUUCGUUGCCGCUAGAGAUAGCAGCAACGGUUCUUGUGCUUUGGGCGCAACCAGCACUGGGGUAGAGGAGGGGUACUUCUGUUGGAAAUAUGCCCUAGAGGCAAUAAUAAAAUGGUUAUUAUUGUAUUUCCUCGUUCAUGAUAAUUGUCUAUUGUUCAUGCUAUAAUUGUAUUAACUGGAAACCGUAAUACAUGUGUGAAUACAUAGACCACAACAUGUCCCUAGUGAUCCCUCUAGUUAACUAGCUCAUUGAUCAACAGAUGGUCAUGGUUUUCUGACCAUGGACAUUGAAUGUCAAAGAUAACGGGAUCAAAUCAUUAGGAGAAUGAUGUGAUGGACAAGACCCAAUCCUAAGCAUAGCACAAGAUCGUGUAGUUCGUUUGCUAAAGCUUUUCUAAUGUCAAGUAUCAUUUCCUUAGACCAUGAGAUCGUGUAACUGAAUAACGCCAUGUAAUUACUUUACUUCAUUGCUAAACCGUCAGCCAUAGUAGUAGACUUAAAAGUUGGCGAGACAACUACAUGGAGACACGAUGAUGGAGAUCAUGAUGAUGGAGAUUAUGGUGUUAUGCCGGUGACAAUGAUGAUCAUGGAGCCCCGAAGAUGGAGAUCAAAAGGAGCAAAAUGAUAUUGGCCAUAUCAUGUCACUAUUUGACUGCAUGUGAUGUUUAUCAUGUUUAUGCAUCUUACUUGCUUAGAAUGAGGGUAGUAAAUAAGAUGAUCCCUCAUAAUAAUUUCAAGAAAGUGUCCCCCCUAACUGUGCACCGUUGCGAAAGAUCAUUGCUUUGAAGCACUACGUGAUGAUCGGGUGUGACAGAUUCUAACGUUCACAUACAACGGGUGCAAGCCAGAUUUACACACGCCAAACACUUAGGUUGACUUGACGUGCCUAGCAUGUACAGACAUGGCCUUGGAACACAAGAGACCGAAAGGUCGAACAUGAGUCGUAUAGUAGAGACGAUCAACAUGAAGAUGUUCACCGAUGAUGACUAGUCCGUCUCACGUGAUGAUCGGACACGGCCUAGUUGACUCGGAUCAUGUAUCACUUAGAUGACUAGAGGGAUGUCUAUCUGAGUGGGAGUUCAUCAAAUAAUUUGAUUAGAUGAACUUAAUUAUCCUGAACAUAGUCAAAAGGUCUUUGCAAAUUAUGUCAUAUCUCGCGUUUUAGUUCUACUCUUUUAGAUAUGUUCCUAGAGAAAAUUUAGUUGAAAGUUGAUAGUAGCAAUUAUGCGAACUGGGUCCAUAAACUGAGGAUUGUCCUCAUUGCUGCAUAGAAGGCUUAUGUCCUUAAUGCACCGCUUGGUGUGCUGAACCUCGAAUGUCGUCUGUGGAUGUUGCGAACAUCUGACAUACAUGUUUUGAUGACUACGUGAUAGUUCAGUAAUGUUAAACAGUUUAGAAUUGAGGCGCUGAAGACGUUUUAGAAACGUCGCAGAACAUAUAAGCUGUUCCAAGGGCUGAAAUUGGGAUUUCAGGCUCGUGCCUCCGUCAAGAGGUAUAAGACCUCCGACGAGUUUCUUAGCCUACAAACUAAGGGAGAAAAGCUCAAUCAUUGAGCUUGUACUCAGAUUGUCUGGGUACAACAAUCACUUGAAUCGAGUGGGAGGCAAUCUUCCAGAUGAGAUAGUGAUGUUUCUCCAAAGUCACAUCCACCAAGCUAGUAGAGCUUCGUGAUGAACUAUAACAUAUCAGGGAUAGAUAUGAAGAUCCUUGAAAUAUUCGCGAUGUUUGACACCGCGAAAGUAGAAAUCAAGAAGGAGCAUCAAUUGUUGAUGGUUAGUGAAACCACUAGUUUCAAGAAGGGCAAGGGCAAGAAGGGAUACUUCAUGAAAUGGCAAGUCAGUUGCUGCUCUAGUGAAUAAACCCAAGGUUGAUCCCAAACCCGAGACUAAGUGAUUCUGUAAUGAGGGGAACCAUCACUGAAACAAAACUACCCUAAAUACUUGGUAGAGGAGAAGGCUGGCAAGGUAGAAAGAAGUAUAUUGGAUAUACGUUAUAUUAAUGUGUACUUUACUAGUACUCCUAGUAGCACCAUGGUAGUAGAUACCAGUUCAGUUGCUAAGUGUUAGUAACUCGAAAUAAAAGGCUACGGAAUAAACGGAGACUAGCUAAAGGUGAUAUGACGAUAUGUGUUGGAAGUGUUUCCAAGCUUGAUGUGAUCAAGCAUCGCAUACUCCCUCCACCAUAGAGAUCGGUGUUAAACCAAAAUAAUUGUUAUUUGGUGUUUGCAUUGAGCAUAGACAUGAUUAGAUUAUGUCUAUCGAAAUACGAUCAUUCAUUUAAGGAAAAUAAUGGUUACACUAUUUAUUUGAAUAAUACCUUCAAUGGUCUUGCACCUAAAAUGGGUUUAUUGAAUCUCGAUCGUAGUGAUACACAUGUUCAUGCCAAAAGAUAUAAGAUAGUAAUGAUAUAGUGCCACCUACUUAUGGCACUGCUUUUUGAGUCAUGCUAUAAAACGCAUGAAGAAGCUCCAUGUUGAUGGAUCUUUGGACUCAUUCAUUUUUGAAAAGAUUGAGACAUGUGAACCAUGUCUGUUGGAAUAUACGCAUGAAGAAACUCCAUGCAGAUGGAUUGUUUGGACUCACCUGAUUUUGAAUCAAUUGAGACAUGCAAAUCAUACCACAUGGGCAAGAUGACUGAAAGGCCUUGUUUUCAGUGAAAUGGAACAAGAAAGCAACUUGUUGGAAGUAAUACAUUUUGAUGUGUGCAGUCCAAUGAGUGCUGAGGCACGCAGUGGAUAUCAUUAUGUUCUUACUUCAGAGAUGAUUUGAGUAGAUUAUAAGUAUAUUUACUUGAUGAAACACAAGUCUGAAUUAUUGAAAGGUUCAAGUAAUUUUAGAGUGAAGUUGAAGAUCGUCGUGACAAGAGGAUAAAAUUUCUAUGGUAUGUUCAUAGAGAUGAAUAUCUGAGUUACGUGUUUGGGACACAAUUAAGACAUUGUGGAAACGGUUUCACAACUAAUAUCGCCUGGAACACCAUAGUGUGAUGGUGUGUCCGAACAUCAUAGAUGCACCCUAUUGGAUAUGGGGCAUACCAUGAUGUCUCUUAUCGAAUUACCACUAUCGUUCAUGGGUUAGGCAUUAGAGACAACUGAAUUCUCUUUAAUAGGGCACCACGUAAUUCUGUUGAGAUGACACCAUAUGAACUAUGGUUUAGAGAAACCUAAGCUAUCAUUUCUUAAAAGGUUUGGGGUUGCGAUGCUUAUGUGAAAAAUUUCAUGCUAAUAAGCUCGAUCCCCAAGCGGAUAAAUGCAUCUUAAUAGGACACCCAAAACAGUUGGGUAUACCUCCUAAUUCAGAUCUAGAAGCAAAAGUAAUUAUUUCUAGAAACAGGUCCUUUCUCGAGGAAAAGUUUCUCUCGAAAGAAUUGAGUGGGAGGAUGGUGGAGACUUGAUAAGGUUAUUUACCCAUCACUUCAACUAGUGUGUAGAUGGGCACAGGAAGUUGUUCCUGUGGCGCCUACACCAAUUGAAGUGGAAGCUCACGAUAGUGAUCAUGAAACUUUGGAUCAAGUCAAUACCAAACCUCGUAGGUCGACAAGGAUGCGUACGACUUUGGAGUGGUACGUAAUCCUGUCUUGUAGGUCAUGUUGCUAGACAACAAUGAACCUACGAGCUGUGGAGAAGCGAUGGUGGGCCCGGAUUCUGACAAUGGAUCGAGGCCAUAAAAUCUGAGAGAGGAUCCAUGUAUGAAAACAAAGUAUAGACUUUGGAAGAACUACUCGAUGGUCGUAAGGCUGUUGAGUACAGAAGGAUUUUAAAAGGAAGACGGACAAUGAUGGUAAGUGUCACCAUUAAGAAAGCUCGACUUAUUGCUAAGAUGUUUUCCGACAAGUUCAAAGAGUUGACUAUGAUGAGACUUUCUCACUCGUAGAGAUGCUAAGAGUCUGUUGGAAUUAUAUUAGCAAUUACUGCAUUAUUUAUGAAAUCUUGCAGAUAGGAUGUCAAAACAUUGUUUCCUCGAUGAUAUUGCUUGACGAAAGGUUGUAUGUGAUACAACCAGAAGGUUUUUUCAAUCCUAAAAGAUGCUAAUAAGUAUGCAAAGCUCCAGCAAUCCUUCUAAGGAUUGGAGUAAGCAUGUCAGAGUUGGAAUAUACACUUUGAUGGGAUGAUCAAAGAUUUUGGGUUUAUACAAAGUUUAUGAGAAACUUGUAUUUCCAAAGAAGUGAGUGGGAGCACUAUAGAAUUUCUGACGAGUAUAUGUUGUUGACAUAUUGUUGAUCAGAAAUGAUGUAGAAUUUCUAGAAAGCAUAUAGGGUUAUUUGAAAAGGGUUUUUCAAUGGAAAACCUGGAUUAAGCAACUUGAACAUUGGGCAUCAAGAUCUAUAAGGAUAGAUCAAAAAACACUUAAUAGUACUUUCAAAUGAAUACAUAUCGUGAUAAGUUUUUGAAGGAGUUCAAAAUAGAUCAGCAAAGAAGAAGUUCUUGGCUGUGUUAUAAGGUGUGUGUAUUGAGUAAGACUCAAGACCUGACCACGGCAUAAGAGAGAGAAAGGACGAAGGUCGUCCCCUAUGCUUUAGACAUAGGCUCUACAGUAUGCUAUGCUAUGUACCGCACCUGAAGUGUGCCUUGCCAUGAGUCAGUCAAGGGGUACAAGUGUGAUCAAGGAUUGGAUCACAGCACAACCGUCAAGGUUAUCCUUAGUAACUAGUGGACUAAGUAAUUUUCUCGAUAAUGGAGGUUAAGAGUUCGUCGUAAAGGGUUAUGCUGAUGCAAACUUUGACACUAAUCCGGAUAACUCUGAGUAGUAUACCGGAUUCGUAUAGUAGGACAGUUAUUUGGAAUAGCUCCAAAUAGCGCAUGGUAGCUGCAUCUAGGAGAUGACAUAGAGAUUUGUAAUACACACACGGAUCUGAAAGAUUCAGACCCGUUGACUAAUAACCUCUCUCACAAAUGAGAUAUGAUCAAACCCAAUGGGUGUUGGAUUAAUUACAAUCACAUAGUGAUGUGAACUAGAUUAUUGACUCUAGUGCAAGUGGGAGACUGUUGGAAAUAUGCCCUAGAGGCAAUAAUAAAAUGGUUAUUAUUGUAUUUCCUCGUUCAUGAUAAUUGUCUAUUGUUCAUGCUAUAACUGUAUUAACUGGAAACCGUAAUACAUGUGUGAAUACAUAGACCACAACAUUUCCCUAGUGAGCCUCUAGUUGACUAGCUCGUUGAUCAACAGAUGGUCAUGGUUUCCUGACCAUGGACAUUGAAUGUCAUUGAUAAUGGGAUCACAUCAUUAGGAGAAUGAUGUGAUGAACAAGACCCAAUCCUAAGCAUACCACAAGAUCGUGUAGUUUGUUUGCUAAAGCUUUUCUAAUGUCAAGUAUCAUUUCCUUAGACCAUGAGAUUGUGUAACUCCCUGAUACCGUAGGAGUGCUUUGGGUGUACCAAACGUCACAACGUAAUUGGGUGGCUAUAAAGGUGCACUACAUGUAUCUCCGAAAGUGUGUAUUGGGUUGGCACAAAUCGAGACUGGGAUUUGUCACUCCGUAUGACGGAGAGGUAUCUCUGGGCCCACUCGCUAAUGCAUCAUCAUAAUGAGCUCUAUGUGACUAAGUAGUUAGUCACUAGAUCAUGCAUUACGGAACGAGUAAAGUGACUUUCCGGUAACAAGAUUGAACGAGGUAUUGGGAUAUCGACGAUCGAAUCUCGGGCAAGUAACGUACCGAUUGACAAAGGGAAUUGCAUACGGGAUUGCUUGAAUCCUUGACAUCGUGGUUCAUCCGAUGAGAUCAUCGUGGAACAUGUGGGAGCCAACAUGGUUAUCCAGAUCCCGUUGUUGGUAAUUGGCCGGAGAGGUGUCUCGGUCAUGUCUGCAUGAUUCCCGAACCCGUAGGGUCUACACACUUAAGGUUCGAUGACACUAGGGUUAUAAAGGAAGUUUGUAUGUGGUUACCGAAUGAUGUUUGGAGUCCCGGAUGAGAACCCGGACGUCACGAGGAGUUCCGGAAUGGUCCGGAGGUAAAGAUUUAUAUAUGGGAAGUCUAAUUUCAGUCACCGGAAUAGUUUCGGGGGGCAAGUCUUCCCCUCCUGCCCCCCCCCUCUAGAUGGGAUCUAGAGGGGGCCGACCCCAUCUCCCCUUCCCCUAUAUAUAGUGGGGGUUUUGGGGCUGCCAAGCACAAGAGUUUCCCUCUCUCAUGGCGCAGCCCUACCCCUCUCCCUCCUCGUCUCUCGCAGUGCUUGGCGAAGCCCUGCUGGAGUGCCACGCUCCUCCAUCACCACCACGCCAUUGUGCUGCUGCUGGACGGAGUCUUCCUCAACCUCUCCCUCUGUCCUUGCUGGAUCAAGGCACAGGAGACGUCACCGGGCUGCACGUGUGUUGAACGCAGAGGCACCGUUGUUCGAUGCUUAGAUCGGAUUCGGCCGUGAUCUGAAUCGCUUCAUGAACGACUCCACCGACCGUGUUCUUGCAACGCUUCCGCAUGGCGAUCUUAAAGGGUAUGAAGAUACACUCCCCUCUCUCUUGUUGCUAGAAUCUCCAUAGAUUGAUCUUGGUGAUGCGUAGAAAAUUUUGAAUUUCUGCUACAUUACCCAACAACUUCUUCAAGUCUUGCAGCGCUGCGUCAGCCUCUGGGGUCCACUCCACUCGGCCAGUCUUCUCCAAGAUCUUGAAAAAGGGAAGGGCAUGCUUCGCGGACUUGGAGAUGAAUCUGCUCAUGGUUGCAAUGCAGCCAGUGAGCUGACGCACGUCCUUGAUCCGUUUGGGUGCCUCAAUCGGCUCGAUGGCCUUGAUCUUAUAUGGGUUUGCCUCAAUCCCGCGCUGCGACAAAAAGAACCCGAGAAGCUUGCCAGAUGGGACACCGAAGACACACUUCUCAAGGUUUAAUUUGAGGUUGAUCUUGCACAGGUUUCCAAAUGUUUCCUCCAUAUCUUGCACUAGUGUUGCUUUGUCCUUGGUUUUGACCACUAUGUCAUCCAUAUAAGCUUCCAUAUUUCUAUGUAUCUGGGGCUCAAAACCAAUUUUGACUGCUCUUGCAAAGGUUGAGCCAGCACUCUUCAACCCGAAAGGCAUCCGUAAAAAACAUACUUACCACAUGGGGUGAUGAAUGCUGACUUCUCCUCGUCCUCUUUUCUCAUGAAGAUCUGGUGGUACCCUGAAUAGGCGUCAAGGAAUGAUAACAUGUCACACCCAGCCGUGGAGCCAACAAUCUGGUCGAUGCACGGUAACGGUAAGGGAUCCUUUGGACAAGCCUUGUUGAUGUAUGUGUAAUCAAUACACAGUAUACACUUCCCAUUUGCCUUGCGCACCACUACCGGAUUGGCCAACCACGUCGGAUGGAAUACUCCUCUUACCAAGCCUGCCGCCUCUAGCUUUCUGAUCUCCUCCAUGAUGAACUCCUGCCUCUCUAGAGCUUGCUUCCUGACCUUCUGCUUGACGGGCCGCGCAUGAGGACAUACACCAAGAUGGUGCUCAAUCACUUCCCUGGGAACGCUACAAGGAAACCCCCUAUAAAGCAACAUAUAUUCUACAACAUUUUGAUUGUAUGUUGCAAAAUUCACAAUAGAUAUGGAUAAUAUGCAUUGUAGCAUAUGCGUUGUAGAUGUGUGCUCCACAACUCAAAGGAAAGAGCCCAACGUACUAACCUAGCCACUUGCCUAGCCCGGCCCAACUUGGCUUUCACGAUUAAUCUAGGUCAUUACCUUUCCUAGCCUCCCUAUUCCUCCUCUCGAUCCUAUAGGCUCCCACGCCGGUCGCCGCCCCUCGACCUACCUGCAUCCCGGAGCGCCGCCCCUCACCACUCCCCUGCGAUCCUCCGUCUAGGAAGGCCGCCCCUUACCACUCCCCCUGCGAUACUCCAUCCCAGUGCGCCGUCCCUAAUCAACAUUCCCCUGCGACCCUGCUUCCCGGCCCGCCGCCCCUCGUCACCACUUCCCAAUGACCAACUACGUCUGCUACCUCCGCACGAGGUCCUGCGGCUAUGGGCAGGGUUACCGCUACAACCACCCUCGUGAUCUCGCUGCCAUUGUGAGCUAGACCGUUUCUCUUCUCCCAAUUUUAUUUUCCCGAUCUUGCUCUGCUUGACUUCAGUAUAGUUGGGGAUUGCUAGUUACGACUUGCCAGUCCCUGAUAAUGACGGACAAGGUGAAUUAUAGAUGGUUUGGGCGGAGGGGAGCUUCUAUUUGAAGCCUUUUGCUGUGAUUCAAUUGAUUUAAGUUAUGUCUUAGCGGAGCAUGUCAUGAGCUCAUGCAAGUGAAAUUUGAUUAUGCAAUCGUUGGUUGCUUGAUUAUGUGAUUGACUGAUUGUAUAAUAAGGCUGCUUGUGUUAGUCCCGUGGUUGAUGAUGACGAUUCAAAGUUCCACUUUCUGCUUAUGGUGCCACUUGCUUAUGUUGUAGGCCUGAUCAGUCACUCCUUCAUAUGGUCAUAUUUAUUUUCGAGACUUAAGAGCAAGUUACAAUAUCAAAUUUCUCUAAUAAGUAAUAAUUACCUCCACUCAGUGCAGAGAAAUGCAAUUGCACUCAAGCACUGAAUAUGUUGCAAUGGAUGUGACACCAAAACUUUCUCCCUCUCUUUUAUUUGAGGCACAUUUCAGUAAGUUUUUUUUACAUAUUUUCAUUCUCUUAAAAGACCAUUUAGAUAUGUAUGUUCUCCGCUACUACAAACUAAGCAGCAGCUUGACAGCUUUUUGCAGCUCGGUCGAGUACGCCACUGCGACGCUGGGGGAGAAGUACAUCGGCGCAGGGCAUGGCAAGGCUGAGUAAUUGUUCAAUCUGAGAAGGACAUUAGCACUCAGAGCAGGCUUUCUCUCCAUUACAGUUGGAGUUCAAGAGCACAAGGUAAUCUGGUGAUGAGUCACUGUUGCUUGUCACAAAACUCUAGAAAUGUCAUUGAGUACCAUUUACCAUGAGCUAUGCUUGCCAUUUAAUAAGAUGUUUAUGUGAGCUUAAUGUCAUAUUAAAUUUUUCUUCUACGAAAGCAGAUUACUGCGUGUUCCCUAAAUACAGUAGAAGAGAAACAAAUCUUAUAAAACUACGCUGAGACGAGUUGUACUUAUUUAGUUAGGUGACAUGUUAGAUAAAAUUCUACACCUAUUACAACUUAUCUGACUUCUAUAUUUUUUAAAGAUAGUUGAACUAGAUUGUGUUCCAGGAAUACAAAACCAGGGAUGCUUUCCAUUUAUUAACUUGGCUUUUGGAAUUUGUUUGAUGUCCCCUUCUCCUAUUAUUAACAACAUAUACCUAUAGGGUUCUCUGUGCUAGUUUGCCAAAUCUAGACACUUCUUUUGUGGUCAAUGCUUCCUCUUUAUACUAUGCUUGCCUACAUGCGUAACAUAACUCCUUUAUUCUCUUGAUGUGCUUUUCCUUUUCAACGAAGAAUACACACCAUGGGGACAAAAUAAGUACAUUAGUAGCAUAUGGCAACUUUAUAAAUACUUCCAUGUUUAUGAUACAUCAUCAGGUCGUGUAUCGAUAGAUUGCAAAAAUAAAAAUAAAAAUAUAUUAACUAAAUCCAAAGAAUUUCCAUUCCAACAUGUCAAUUGUUUCUAACUUUAAUUAUUGGCAUGGUCCAUCUAUGGUGUCCUUUAAUUAUUAUUUAUUAGACCACAUUCAAUAUUGUUUUUUGGAUGCCUGCAACUUCCAACUAAUUAUAUCAGCAUAUAUAUAUAUAUAUAUAUGUGUGUGUGUGUGUGUGUGUGUGUGUAGUCUACAUCUGAUUUGUAUUUGUAGUCUACAAACAAGGCAUCCUGAUUAUUUGUUUGAACAUACUAAAGUCUUGUUUUCUCUGCCGUGUCUUCUCCUUUUCUUAAUAAUGUCACUGCCUUUGAUUUAUCUGCCCAGAUGUGCUAUUUUCUUAAUAACUUCCAUUAUUUCUUACCCCAUAUAUACUGGUAUGUCCUUUAAAUAGCAGGCAGCAACAUGUGUGAUGGCUACAACAUAACUCAAUGUUAGUUGGCUUAUAAUCUCUUAUCCCUUGAAAGACUUAGAAAAUGGCAUCUCAUGGGACAACAUAAGAGACCAUAUAGUAGAGGAAUAGAUUCAGGCAUGACAGGUCUUGGCCUCUCAACCUUUUCUGUUAUAUGUCAUGUUUCUAUUAAUUAGUUUGCUCGACAUGAUUCUGCCAAUGGACACUUUCAUUUUCUCUAACAGGCAGGAAUAAAAAUAUUUUUAAUGUGCAUAAAACAUCAUAGCAGAGAUGUAAGUUGUGAUCCUAAAUUUUAACUUGAUGGUGCUGAAAUUACUUAAUUCUGGGUAGUGCAUGUCGAUAUGGCACUUGUGAAAACUGAAGAUUUGGCACGGAGUCGCAAAAACUGCAAUACUCUUGGUAAUGCAGAUUUUUUUGCAUGGUAACCUUUGUAAGUGACUAAUAUCCUGGCUCUAUCACUUCUUGCAUCAUGUCAAUGCAUUGUGUGUUAACAGUUCAUUUUGUUUUUCUUUGUAGAUUCAAAAAAUAAAUGGAUGAUUAUAUGGGUGUGUGUGGCAAGUGUACUACAAUGAUGACGAUGUUCCUGUUCAUGAUGAUGAAGACAGAGGCUUUUUAAUUUUAGUUAAAUUGUAGGGAUGAUGUUCCUGUGAACGAUGUUCCUCGAUCAUGUUUUAGUUAAGUUGUAGGGAUGUUGAUGGAUGCUCCCAAUUUAAGUUUCACUGUCAAGUAACAUUUAGAUUACACAUCCCAUUUGGAUUUGGAUGAUUUUCCUUGUGUAAUAUCCACCAUUGUAAUCCAACAGUUUUAUCUAAUAUAUGAUUUCUUUCUUUCAUGAGUAUAUUCUCUUGUUUAUCUAAUAU
RNAcentral lists this long non-coding RNA (14172 nucleotides) under Triticum aestivum (bread wheat). RNAcentral describes it as "long non-coding RNA (TAES_LNC023156)". Lineage: Eukaryota; Viridiplantae; Streptophyta; Magnoliopsida; Poales; Poaceae. The record is from RNAcentral.